This 243-nucleotide ribosomal RNA is filed under the name uncultured bacterium. RNAcentral describes it as "partial 16S ribosomal RNA". It matches the Rfam family "Bacterial small subunit ribosomal RNA", at positions 531 to 773 of the family's 1533-position model. The record is from RNAcentral.
GUGGCAAGCGUUGUCCGAAUUUAUUGGGCGUAAAGCGAGUGCAGGCGGUGCCAUAAGCCUGAUGUGAAAACCCUCGGCCCCACCGGAGAAUUGCAUCAGAAACUGUUGAACUUGAGUGCAGAAGAGGAGAGUGGAACUCCAUGUGUAGCGGUGGAAUGCGUAGAUAUAUGGAAGAACACCAGUGGCGAAGGCGGCUCUCUGGUCUGCAACUGACGCUGAGGCUCGAAAGCAUGGGUAGCGAAC